This is an unclassified non-coding RNA of Cercocebus atys (sooty mangabey), 106 nucleotides long. It matches the Rfam family "Y RNA". Rfam says of the family: Y RNAs are components of the Ro ribonucleoprotein particle (Ro RNP), in association with Ro60 and La proteins. The Y RNAs and Ro60 and La proteins are well conserved, but the function of the Ro RNP is not known. In humans the RNA component can be one of four small RNAs -- hY1, hY3, hY4 and hY5. The record is from Ensembl. NCBI's taxonomy places the organism in Eukaryota, Metazoa, Chordata, Mammalia, Primates, Cercopithecidae.
GGCGGGUCCGAAGGUAGUGAGUUAUGUCUUGGUCACAGUCAGUUACAGAUCAGACUCCUUGUUCUACUCUAUCCCCCUUCUCACUAAUGCCCUCGACAGGUCUUGA